Non-coding RNA from Brachypodium distachyon (stiff brome), 125 nucleotides. Lineage: Eukaryota; Viridiplantae; Streptophyta; Magnoliopsida; Poales; Poaceae. The record is from Rfam.
UUUAUACACCCUCCGUCCCAUAUUAACUGUCUCAAAUUUGUCUAAAUAUAGAUGUAUCUAUACCUAAAAUGCGUCUAGAUACAUGUAAUAUUUCGACGCUUAAUAUGGAACGGAGGGAGUAUCUU